This 497-nucleotide ribosomal RNA is filed under the name uncultured bacterium. RNAcentral describes it as "partial 16S ribosomal RNA". It matches the Rfam family "Bacterial small subunit ribosomal RNA", at positions 30 to 523 of the family's 1533-position model. The record is from RNAcentral.
AUUGAACGCUGGCGGUAGGCCUAACACAUGCAAGUCGAACGCGAAAGUCCUUCGGGAUGAGUAGAGUGGCGGACGGGUGAGUAACGCGUAGGAAUCUAUCCUGUAGUGGGGGAUAACGUUUCGAAAGGAACGCUAAUACCGCAUACGCCCCAAGGGGGAAAGCGGGGGAUCUUCGGACCUCGUGCUAUAGGAGGAGCCUGCGUCGGAUUAGCUAGUUGGUGAGGUAAAGGCUCACCAAGGCGACGAUCCGUAGCUGGUCUGAGAGGAUGAUCAGCCACACCGGAACUGAGACACGGUCCGGACUCCUACGGGAGGCAGCAGUGGGGAAUAUUGCGCAAUGGGCGAAAGCCUGACGCAGCCAUACCGCGUGUGUGAAGAAGGCCUUCGGGUUGUAAAGCACUUUCAGUGGGGAGGAAAAGCUGGUGGCUAAUAUCCAUCGGCCGUGACGCUACCCACAGAAGAAGCACCGGCUAAUUCCGUGCCAGCCGCCGCAGUAA